RNAcentral lists this transfer-messenger RNA (349 nucleotides) under Lachnospiraceae bacterium. It matches the Rfam family "transfer-messenger RNA". Rfam says of the family: Bacterial tmRNA, also known as 10Sa RNA or SsrA, is named for its dual tRNA and mRNA-like properties. Its role is to liberate the mRNA from a stalled ribosome. Lineage: Bacteria; Bacillati; Bacillota; Clostridia; Lachnospirales; Lachnospiraceae. The record is from RNAcentral.
GGGGUUGUAAAGGUUUCGACGGGGUUUUAGAAGCAAUGUAAGCCACUGGUGGCGGCCAACCACCUAAAAAUGACCAAAUAAAAAUAAACGCUAAGAAUAAUAGAUUAGCUUUAGCUGCUUAAUCGCGGCUACGCAGGCCCGGAGUUCCGCCGACCGGUCAACCUGUGUCAUCCAGGCGGAAAACUCUGUGCCGUAAGCUUUGCCGGUACAGAAAAUCCAUGAAGCUACCUUGCCGGGAAGUCUGUCCCUGGGGAUCGCGGUAAGGGAAUAAGCCUUUCAGGGACUGCAGUGGGAGAAAGCAGUGUGAAAGAAGCUUCGGACGCGGGUUCGAUUCCCGCCAGCUCCAUAA